AAACCUUUUUUAUUUUAUAUUGAAUUAAUAUAUAUCUUUAUGGUAACUCUCUAAGGUUUGUACUAUGAAAAGAUGGUUGGUAGUUCGUCUUCCAGCUUUGUUGAUAUAGUAGUGAUUGAAGAAAGAAUAUCAAGUGGGUUCAAGUCAGGAAAGAUCUCUAGUGGUAAUAGUACUCAAUAAUCAGCAGCUAGGAAGCUUCCGAGUAGUUAUGCAAAGAAGAAGGAAGGAAAAACAAAUGAUGUGACGGUAAGUGUCCUAAAUAC
This 263-nucleotide long non-coding RNA is filed under the name Lathyrus oleraceus (garden pea). Its description in RNAcentral is "Pisum sativum (pea) long non-coding RNA (PSAT_LNC028640)". The record is from RNAcentral. Lineage: Eukaryota; Viridiplantae; Streptophyta; Magnoliopsida; Fabales; Fabaceae.